CGUGGGAGAGUUCUGUUUACAGACGCCGAAGGCGCAACCCGCCCGGAAACGCUCAGGCCAAAGGACCGCGGGGA
Molecule: non-coding RNA, 74 nt
Filed under: marine sediment metagenome
Also listed under: 1 other name
Description: Glycine riboswitch aptamer
Rfam family: Glycine riboswitch aptamer
About the family: This family represents the bacterial glycine riboswitch. Glycine riboswitches usually consist of two metabolite-binding aptamers domains with similar structures in tandem.
Source: RNAcentral